Long non-coding RNA from Bombina bombina (fire-bellied toad), 1005 nucleotides. RefSeq lists it as uncharacterized. The record is from RefSeq and is a predicted model, not a curated record. The transcript has 9 exons. Lineage: Eukaryota; Metazoa; Chordata; Amphibia; Anura; Bombinatoridae.
CUUAAAGCCACGAGGUUGCAUUUGAAUCUUACUGACUUCCGUACACACAAGCUUCUGGAAGGCUGAAAUUGCGCCAAAAAUUGUGAAAUGUUUGAGGUGUUUAGAAGCUGGCUUGUUUGGAAUAUCUGUCCAGCUCAAAAAUGGCUCCAGCGGUUAAACAGCUGAUGGCAUGGCAGGAUGGCUUUAUGGAAACUUCAAGCAUAUGACAGCUUAAUUUUCUUCCACAAGGUUGUGAGACCAGUUUGCAGCCUUAGGUCCCCAUCAUAUGUCCCAUGCAAGCCCAACCCAGAAAAUGCACAGCUAACAUUCAUAGUGAUGCUAAAGUUAUCAGAUCUACAGCACCAGUUGACAUACAGCCAACACUUAGUGUCUAUUUCAUUGUCAAAAGGAAUGUCUAUGCCUCCUUUGUUAUAACAGCUGGCUUGUUUGGAAUAUCUGUCCAGCUCAAAAAUGGCUCCAGCGGUUAAACAGCUGAAGGCAUGGCAGAAUGGCUUUAUGGAAACUUCAAGCAUAUGACAGCUUAAUUUUCUUCCACAAGGUUGUGAGACCAGUUUGCAGGUGAUGCUAAAGUUAUCAGAUCUACAGCACCAGUUGACAUACAGCCAACACUUAGUGUCUAUUUCAUUGUCAAAAGGAAUGUCUAUGCCUCCUUUGUUAUAACAGAUCUAGCAAUGUGAAGCGAGAGGCCGUAAUGUACAAAGAGGUCUUCACCUCAACUGCGUUUGCUGACAUCCAGGCUGCAAGUUGAUUUUGUUUUAUAUACAGAUCUUCAAGCAUUGGACAAAAUGUCUACAUGAAACAGUUCUCCGUUACACCAGCCCAGGUGUUUUAACAGCUGGAGUAUGUGUGUGUUUUGUGCAACUCUGCUGCUCUCACAACUUGUGUACCCAUGGAAAGGGGUUGUCCUUGGCGUUCCUGUUUGAUCUAUAAACCUGGCUAUUUAAUAAAAUGCUAAUAAUGUGUUUCUGAUUAUCUGUUCUAUUAAUAAAGCUGUGACUGAUCUUA